Molecule: long non-coding RNA, 1907 nt
Organism: Coturnix japonica (Japanese quail)
Lineage: Eukaryota; Metazoa; Chordata; Aves; Galliformes; Phasianidae
Source: RefSeq, a predicted model, not a curated record
UUGGAUAACCAGCCUCAGCAUUUUCCAGCUAGACUGAAGGCAUCUGUAUUGGGAUUGCUAACUUGUGCUGCGUUCAUCAAGAAAUGCACUGACUCGAAUAAUUAUUAAUACCUUAAGCAUAUCAGCUGCAAUCUACAUAUAAGAGAUGUUGAAACAGAAGGCAAGCCUUAUCUAACAUACCAAAUGAUACUUAACCCUGGCUCUGAAGACACAACUUCUCAUUGACUUAUAUGCUUUACUAUGAGACAGACGUAGACAGCUUUUGAAAGGGAAAAGGAAUGUUCAAUUCUCUGUAUCACAUAUGAAGCUGUUUGGACAGCAUGGCAUUGUAAUUGAUUACACCAAAAUGAUUGUUAAUACAUUGCAUGAAGAUCAAUUCUCAGAAUUCUCUUCUUUUGGAGCUUGACCAUAAAAAAAGGAGAAUAUUGACAGCUGAAGAUGUCACCGCAAGCAGAAAAUCCUAAGUCUACUUUCACUGUAAGGGAUAUAAUUUUUAGGAGACUGUUAAAAUUAUAUAUAUAUUUUUUUCUUUUUUUGUUCCCCCUUCAGGGUGAAAAUGAGAAUGAACUAUGAAAUAGUUAGUGUUCACAGAGUGUGAUGAUGUGGUCUACACUAUGCCACAAUAGAAGUAUUAAGGAUGUUUUCUCUCAUUAGUGCCUAACUUUCUCAAACUCGCUGGUUUACAUUUAAAAAUGAAAUGUCUCUUUUAAAAAUGCUGCUCUUAUAGCAAAGUAGAAAUCCUAUAUAUGCCAUAUAAAUCACAUUGGAAUGCCAGAUUAGAGCAAUCCUUAAAAUUGUCUAAAAAAGUCUGGCUGCUUAUUGAAACACUGAGCCACAGGAGGUAUGCUGUUAAUCCUGUCAUGAUCUCAAAUGCUGUGCAUUUGCAAAAGUGUAGUCCGAUCAUAGUGCCUCUGCUAGAGAGAUAUUAACAGUCCGUGCAAUUAUAAGUUGUUUAAUCCUUAUGAUGUCACUUACUUUAAUUCUUAUAAAAUGUCAUCAUAUUUGAGGAUUACAAUAGAGUUCUAAUAACAUCUAGAGCAUAAACUGAGCCUUGUAUUUAAUCAUAAAAUAUUGCUUGUAACUACUAUUAUAGUAUCUCGGUGCCAAAGUGGAAAACUUUGUCUGUAUUGCUUUGCUUGCUUACACACCUGCACAUAUUUGCAAAGUCACCUAUGUGACUGGAUGGCUCCACCUCUCCUAGACCCCAUUUAAGGCUACCAGUAGGGAAGGAUCUCUUUUUGGAGAUCUCCCCGUUGUGGAGUCUUUCAUUGUGAGCCUGAGUCUUUGAAUACAGAUGAGCAUUCUUUCUCUGUUUCUUUCCAUUUCUCCACAAUAUUACUUCCACCUGUAAUAACAGCAGUAUAAUGCAGAAUAACUUCAUCAGAUAAUUCUGAUCUACUGUUAAGACAUGAAAUCUAAUUUAAAAUUAAUGGACUGUUUAUUAGAGAUUCAUAUCUUUACAGUUUUCAAUAUUGAAAUAUUUGUGGUAAAAAAGAUAAAAAGUAAAUCAUACUGUUUCCAAAGAUUAUGGUUUUACAUGUUCUGGGAAUUAUAAGCAUUAUUUAUAGGACACAUUCCCAUUUAUUUAUUAAAUGAUUCUAGAAAUAAUAUUUUACAGAGCAACAGAAUCAUACAGUUUAGCACUAAGGUGACCUUCAUCUGAAAUGUACACAUAAAUAUCCUUGUUUGUUUAUAAGUAUAACCAUUAUUAUUUAGCUGCAUGAAAUAAUUAUUUUUAUUUACCCAAUAAAUAUUUCUGGUCCACUCAAAUAAUUCAUGCUGUAUUUCAUCCAGCAUUAAUUGACAGUGAUAAACCCCAUAGAAUCUAAGCCAUUCAGUAUAGUCACGUCUUUAAUGCUUUGAUGACAAAAUAUUGAAAUAGCAAAGAAAUAAAUUCUUCUAACUAA